UGCCAGUAGUCAUAUGGUUGUCUCAAAGAUUAAGCCAUGCAUGUCUAAGUAUAAACAAAUCUAUACGUGAAACUGCGAAUGGCUCAUUAUAUCAGUUAUAGUUUAUUUGAUGGUUCUUGCUACUUGGAUAACCGUAGUAAUUCUAGAGCUAAUACAUGCGUCAAACCCCGACUUCUGGGAGGGGUGUAUUUAUUAGAUGGAAACCAAUGCGGGGCAACCCGGUAUAUGGUGAUUCAUAAUAACUUUCGGAUCGAUCUUCGGAUCGAUGCAUCAUUCAAGUUUCUGCCCUAUCAGCUUUGGAUGGUAGGGUAUUGGCCUACCAUGGCUUUAACGGGUAACGGAGAAUUAGGGUUCGAUUCCGGAGAGGGAGCCUGAGAA
RNAcentral lists this ribosomal RNA (378 nucleotides) under Togula jolla. RNAcentral's name for it is "partial Eukaryotic small subunit ribosomal RNA". It matches the Rfam family "Eukaryotic small subunit ribosomal RNA", at positions 15 to 402 of the family's 1831-position model. The record is from RNAcentral. Lineage: Eukaryota; Dinophyceae; Gymnodiniales; Gymnodiniaceae.